AAUAUUUAGAGCGAUGGAGUUCGCUUAACUGCUACAUUGUAGCUGAUAACUCCUGUUGAAGU
This 62-nucleotide non-coding RNA is filed under the name Candidatus Brocadia. RNAcentral describes it as "Fluoride sequence". It matches the Rfam family "Fluoride riboswitch aptamer (crcB RNA motif)". RNAcentral also lists the same sequence under 1 other name. The record is from RNAcentral. Lineage: Bacteria; Pseudomonadati; Planctomycetota; Candidatus Brocadiia; Candidatus Brocadiales; Candidatus Brocadiaceae.